RNAcentral lists this ribosomal RNA (253 nucleotides) under uncultured bacterium. RNAcentral describes it as "partial 16S ribosomal RNA". It matches the Rfam family "Bacterial small subunit ribosomal RNA", at positions 524 to 776 of the family's 1533-position model. The record is from RNAcentral.
UACGAAGGGGGCAAGCGUUGUUCGGAAUUAUUGGGCGUAAAGGGCGCGUAGGCGGUUUUGCAAGUUUCGUGUGAAAACUUCGGGCUCAACCCGAAGCCUGCACGGAAAACUGCCGGGCUUGAGUAUGGGAGAGGUGAGUGGAAUUUCCGGUGUAGCGGUGAAAUGCGUAGAUAUCGGAAGGAACACCUGUGGCGAAGGCGGCUCACUGGACCAUAACUGACGCUGAGGCGCGAAAGCGUGGGGAGCAAACAGG